UCUCUCUUUCUUCUUCUUCAUUAUUCUUCUUCUUUCUUCUUCCCCUGUUUUUUUUCUUGUUCUUUUUCUGCCGGUGAUUCUGUGAGAAGUUUUGAGAGUCUGAGAUCGAAAGGGGUAAGGGAAUAUCAAACAACAUCUAGUGGUGGUGGUGUUGAAUCGUCGAUGUGAUUCAUGCUCAUCAGAAAAGGGAAACUCAGAGUAUAUAAUUUAGGGUUUUCAAUUAUGAUUGAUGUUCUGAAGAUUUUGAAGAUGAUGUAUAGAGCUACUGCUAGAUAAGGAAGCAUGGGUAGUCGUUUAAUUGAGUUUCUGAAGUUGAUUCGGUGGUGAAUCGAGAAUUAGAGUUCUGUUCUUGAGGAUUUUGGAUAAGGAGAAAUUAGAAGAUGAAAUUAGUGGUUUAGGGAAGAGAUUAGAGAUGUGUUUGUCCUGAAUUAGGGCAUAAGGUUGAUAAUCAUCUCGAAUUUGAUAGUUAAGGUUUGUAGUUUUGGAACUGAAGCUCAAGUAGUGGUUGAUUUGAAGCUGUGAAUGAUGUUCUUCCCCAAAACAGAGAUUAGGUUUUCAGAAGAAUUGAAUUGGUGAUGUUGCAAUUCAAAGGGUGCUAGUGAUUGGAUGAAUGUUAGGAGAUUGCAAGUGUGCAGAUUUGUUGGUGGUAUUGAACUGGUGGUGCUGAAAUGGUUAAGAUGAGUAUGGUGGUGUUGAUGUGAGGAUUUAUGAAGCUAUGGCUUGAAGCUUGGGUUGUGCUUUUGAUGUUUGUUGGGUUUCAGGGAAGUGGUACUGCAAUGGUGAUUCACAGUUGGUGUUGAAAUGAGAAGUGGAUUAGUUGUGAAUGAGUUAGGAAAAUGUAUGUUGUUGAUUGGUGGUAGUGGUGUUUUCAGUCUCAGGACAUGGAGGAAGUAUAUGACGUAGUUGUGGUGAAGUUAUAGUGGAGAAUGAAUGAAUGUGCAAUGCUGAAACUGAAUUGUUGUUGAUAUGAGUUGCAGAUGUAGUAAUCUGAGUUAAUGAGGGAAUCUGAUGGUGUUGAUAUCAGGGGAGGAGAUAUGUGAUGGUGGUUAUGUUGAACUGAACUCAAGUUGUAUGAGAUGUUAUAGGACUGAAGCUUUAGAAAUAGAGUUAGAUGAAUGUAUUGAGAUGAUCUGAGUGAUGCUUAAAGCUGCAAUUGCAGGUAAUCUUAGCUGAGUGUUGUAUUUGAUUUAUGAAGUUUGUAUAGGAUAAAUGUAUUGUUAUUGAAAUAUAGUUUAAAGUUAAAUUGGGAUUAGAGUUGUA
This is a long non-coding RNA of Papaver somniferum (opium poppy), 1260 nucleotides long. RefSeq lists it as uncharacterized. The record is from RefSeq and is a predicted model, not a curated record. The transcript is spliced from 2 exons. NCBI's taxonomy places the organism in Eukaryota, Viridiplantae, Streptophyta, Magnoliopsida, Ranunculales, Papaveraceae.